GGGCCGGUCGUCUAGCUGGCUAGGAUAACCGCCUGACACGCGGUUGGUCCCCGGUUCGAGUCCGGGCCGGCCCA
RNAcentral lists this transfer RNA (74 nucleotides) under Thermoprotei archaeon. RNAcentral's name for it is "tRNA-Val". It matches the Rfam family "tRNA". Rfam says of the family: Transfer RNA (tRNA) molecules are approximately 80 nucleotides in length. Their secondary structure includes four short double-helical elements and three loops (D, anti-codon, and T loops). The record is from RNAcentral. Lineage: Archaea; Thermoproteati; Thermoproteota; Thermoprotei.